UACGUAGGCAGCAAGCGUUGUUCGGAGUUACUGGGCGUAAAGGGUGCGUAGGCGGCUUUUUAAGUUUGGUGUGAAAUCUCCCGGCUCAACUGGGAGGGUGCGCCGAAUACUGAGAGGCUAGAGUGUGGGAGAGGAAAGUGGAAUUCCUGGUGUAGCGGUGAAAAUGCGUAGAUAUCAGGAGGAACACCGGUGGUGUAAACGGCUUUCUGGACCAUAACUGACGCUGAGGCACGAAAAGCGUGGGUAGCAAACAGG
This 255-nucleotide ribosomal RNA is filed under the name uncultured bacterium. RNAcentral describes it as "partial 16S ribosomal RNA". It matches the Rfam family "Bacterial small subunit ribosomal RNA", at positions 524 to 776 of the family's 1533-position model. The record is from RNAcentral.